UAAUACGUAGGGUGCGAGCGUUAAUCGGAAUUACUGGGCGUAAAGCGUGCGCAGGCGGUUUUGUAAGCCAGAUGUGAAAUCCCCGGGCUCAACCUGGGAAUGGCAUUUGGGACUGCAAGGCUCGAGUGCGGCAGAGGAGACUGGAAUUCCUGGUGUAGCAGUGAAACGCGUAGAUAUCAGGAGGAAUACCGAUGGCGAAGGCAGGUCUCUGGGCUGACACUGACGCUCAUGCACGAAAGCGUGGGGAGCAAACAGGAUUAGAUACCCUGGUAGUCCACGCCCUAAACGAUGUCGACUGGUUGUUGGGGGUUUGACACUCUCAGUAACGAAGCUAACGCGUGAAGUCGACCGCCUGGGGAGUACGGCCGCAAGGUU
This 375-nucleotide ribosomal RNA is filed under the name uncultured bacterium. Its description in RNAcentral is "bacterial SSU rRNA". It matches the Rfam family "Bacterial small subunit ribosomal RNA", at positions 521 to 895 of the family's 1533-position model. The record is from RNAcentral.